AAUAACUGUUAAUAAUACACUCAUUCACUUGUUAAUACUGUAGGACCGACAGUUGUUUGAUGCUGCUCGAGAUGGAAAUAUUGAAGGAAUGAAAUCAGCCCUCUCCAAUGGGGCAGAUAUCAACUGGAGUAAUCCUGAUAGGCGUAACAUGACUCCAUUACAUGCAGCAGCUCAAUAUAACAAGAGUAAUGCUGUCCAGUGGUUACUCAGUAAAGGGGCUACCGUUGACUCAAGAGCUGGUGUGAGUUGUAUAUUGAAUGACACACAUUAUUACAACAUGAUGUAAUGUAGUACAUGCUAGUUGAUAAUAAACCAGUUCCAAUACAUGUUUUUUCUUUAU
Molecule: long non-coding RNA, 340 nt
Organism: Amphimedon queenslandica
Lineage: Eukaryota; Metazoa; Porifera; Demospongiae; Haplosclerida; Niphatidae
Exons: 2
Source: RefSeq, a predicted model, not a curated record